UAAGACGAAGGGGGCUAGCGUUGUUCGGAAUUACUGGGCGUAAAGCGAGUGUAGGCGGUUGUCAUAGUCAGGUGUGAAAGCCUUGAGCUCAACUCAAGAAAUGCACUUGAUACUGGGCGACUAGAGGACCGGAGAGGAUAGUGGAAUUCCCAGUGUAGUGGUGAAAUACGUAGAGAUUGGGAAGAACACCAGUGGCGAAGGCGGCUAUCUGGACGGUUACUGACGCUAAGACUCGAAAGCGUGGGGAGCAAACAGGAUUAGAUACCCUGGUAGUCCACGCCGUAAACGAUGGGUGCUAGACGUUGGCGAGCUUGCUCGUCAGUGUCGCAGCUAACGCGUUAAGCACCCCGCCUGGGGAGUACGGCCGCAAGGUUGAAACUUAAAGGAAUUGACGG
RNAcentral lists this ribosomal RNA (395 nucleotides) under uncultured bacterium. RNAcentral describes it as "bacterial SSU rRNA". It matches the Rfam family "Bacterial small subunit ribosomal RNA", at positions 521 to 916 of the family's 1533-position model. The record is from RNAcentral.